UGAAUACGAGAUGCUACGGCGUCGAAGCAGUCUAUGUCAUACUUCCAAGAAAAGCUUGCACUGUCAUAAACAAAUAAUGCCUGUACCAUAACCGACACAGGUGGGUAGGUAGAGUAUACUAAGGGGCGCGAGUUAACUCUCUCUAAGGAACUCGGCAAAAUGACUCCGUAACUUCGGGAGAAGGAGUGCCUUAUUUAUAAGGUUGCAAUAACAAGAUCCAAGCAACUGUUUACCAAAAACACAGGUCUCCGCUAAGUCGUAAGACGAUGUAUGGGGGCUGACGCCUGCCCAGUGCCAGAAGGUUAAAGAAGUUGGUUAGCAUCCGCGAAGCUGAUAACUGAAGCCCUGGUGAACGGCGGCCGUAACAAUAACGGUCCUAAGGUAGCGAAAUUCCUUGUCGGGUAAGUUCCGACCCGCACGAAAGGCGUAAUGAUUUGGAUACUGUCUCGGAGAGGGGCUCGGUGAAAUAGACUUGUCUGUGAAGAUGCGGACUACCUGCACCAGGACAGAAAGACCCUAUGAAGCUUUACUGUAACCUGAAAUUGAAAUUGGACUUUACUUGCGCAGUAUAGGUGGGAGGCGUUGAGAAUAUUCUUGCGGGAUUAUUGGAGCCAUCAGUGAGAUACCACUCUUGUAAUGUUAGAUUUCUAACUUUGUAUCAUUAUCUGGUCAAAGAACAGUUUCAGGCGGGCAGUUUGACUGGGGCGGUCGCCUCCUAAACGGUAACGGAGGCGCACAAAGGUUUCCUCUGAACGGGUAGAAAUCGUAUCUAGAGUGUAAAGGCAUAAGGAAGCUUGACUGUGAGACCUACAAGUCGAGCAGGGACGAAAGUCGGUCUUAGUGAUCUGACGGCGCUGAGUGGAAAGGCCGUCACUCAACGGAUAAAAGUUACUCUAGGAUAACAGGCUGAUCUCCCCCAAGAGUUCACAUCGACGGGGAGGUUUGGCACCUCGAUGUCGGCUCAUCGCAUCCUGGGGCGGUAGUACGUCCCAAGGGUUGGGCUGUUCGCCCAUGAAAGCGGUACGCGAGCUGGGUUCAGAACGUCGUGAGACAGUUCGGUCCAUAUCCGGUGUAGGCGUUAGAAUAUUGAGAGGAGCCUUCUUUAGUACGAGAGGACCGAGAAGGACAUACCUCUGGUGUACCAGUUAUCGUGCCAACGGUAAACGCUGGGUAGCUACGUGUGGAGUGGAUAACCGCUGAAAGCAUCUAAGUGGGAAGCCCACCUCAAGAUAAG
RNAcentral lists this ribosomal RNA (1234 nucleotides) under metagenome. RNAcentral describes it as "bacterial LSU rRNA". It matches the Rfam family "Bacterial large subunit ribosomal RNA", at positions 1564 to 2808 of the family's 2925-position model. The record is from RNAcentral.